RNAcentral lists this long non-coding RNA (290 nucleotides) under Mytilus galloprovincialis (Mediterranean mussel). Lineage: Eukaryota; Metazoa; Mollusca; Bivalvia; Mytilida; Mytilidae. The record is from RNAcentral.
UGGGCGCUGAUAACACAAUAACGACAGAAGACCCGUUACAUCCAAACUUAAAUUAUUAAAUAAUGAACCGUCACAAAAAGUGACUUUUUAAGUCAGUAGUUCAUGAUCUUUUUUUUUAAACAAAACUAUUUAACGGCAUCAUCCAACACUCACAUCACUGAUUCAUAUACUUUAUUUUAAAAUGUAAAGUACAUGUAUGAGAAGUUCUCUUCUUGGAAAGGUAUACUGACUAUACUGUUAAUAUAAUUUGAAGAAGGAAAAUGAUUGGUUUUGUUUGUAGCCUUACGUCC